Molecule: ribosomal RNA, 646 nt
Filed under: uncultured bacterium
Lineage: Bacteria
Description: bacterial SSU rRNA
Rfam family: Bacterial small subunit ribosomal RNA
Source: RNAcentral
AGAGUUUGAUCAUGGCUCAGAUUGAACGCUGGCGGCAGGCCUAACACAUGCAAGUCGAGCGGUAGAGAGGUGCUUGCACCUCUUGAGAGCGGCGGACGGGUGAGUAAAGCCUAGGAGUCUGCCUGGUAGUGGGGGAUAACGCUCGGAAACGGACGCUAAUACCGCAUACGUCCUACGGGAGAAAGCAGGGGACCUUCGGGCCUUGCGCUAUCAGAUGAGCCUAGGUCGGAUUAGCUAGUUGGUGGGGUAAUGGCUCACCAAGGCGACGAUCCGUAGCUGGUCUGAGAGGAUGAUCAGUCACACUGGAACUGAGACACGGUCCAGACUCCUACGGGAGGCAGCAGUGGGGAAUAUUGGACAAUGGGCGAAAGCCUGAUCCAGCCAUGCCGCGUGUGUGAAGAAGGUCUUCGGAUUGUAAAGCACUUUAAGUUGGGAGGAAGGGCAGUAAAUUAAUACUUUGCUGUUUUGACGUUACCGACAGAAUAAGCACCGGCUAACUCUGUGCCAGCAGCCGCGGUAAUACAGAGGGUGCAAGCGUUAAUCGGAAUUACUGGGCGUAAAGCGCGCGUAGGUGGUUAGUUAAGUUGGAUGUGAAAUCCCCGGGCUCAACCUGGGAACUGCAUUCAAAACUGACUGACUAGAGUAU